CUAUUAUUACAGUUGUUUUUGUUUAGUGGCCAACACAGCUGCUGUUGUACGCCCGCCCGCCCGCUGCUGACACGCAGAAUUCAAUGCAACAAAACAGAAGCAGGAGCUAAAUGUAACGGUUGUCCAAGUGCAAAACAAAAGCAAAUACAUCAGCAGCAGCGCCAGCAGCGACAGCGGCCGCGGCAGCGACAGCUCUUGCAAAAAUCAUAGAGAGCGCAAAGUUUGCCUUGAAUGCAAGCAAAAGAGUUGGAGAGCGCAAGUAAAUGAGCCGCGGAACUGCAUGAGUGUGAAGGAGAUGGAGUGCCGAAUAGCGCGGGAGAGCACAAGUAGCGGGAUCCUAUUAGCGAAUUGUGGGUGAAGGAGAUGGAGCAUCGAAAAUAGAGAGCGCAGCCAUGGAUGAUGUGUUCGAAGAUGGGGUGGACUACAAAGACAUUUGGCAAGGUGUGAGGUGUCGAGGGGUAUAAGUGAACAUUAAAAAUAUACAUUCUUUAACUCCUUGCACUCUUUUUUUUUACUCUUGAACAAAAACACCCUGCUAGAUUAACUAGAACAAACUUAGUUACUGACUAGCCAUGGCAUACCCAUCAUUUUCUUAGCCCUGAUUAAUGACGUCACAGGCUUAAAAACCCUCAAAACUUUCAUUGCGCAGCCCUGAAAACGAUCAGCCAACGUGUCAGCCCUCGUUCAAGCAGAGAAAAAAAGAUGCGUAGAAGCAGAACAGUUUUUUUUUGCGAGAACAAAAAGGGCGCAAAAAAAAUAGUGGAAUAUAAAGAACAAUAAACAAAAUGUGCUCUAUCUGGUGCCCAACAGAGUGCGGCAACGUUUAUACGAAAAUGGGUUAUGAAAAACAAUUUGAAAAGUGGAGCGUUUCGUGGCUGAUGGAUAGUGUAAGGUUAGUAGGCUACAGGCACGGCUCUGCCACGGCUCUGGCUCUGGCUCUGCCACGGGGCACACAAACUUUGACUUAAGUUCACGUUGAGAGUUUUUCAGUUUAAAAGACAAGCAAAU
RNAcentral lists this small RNA (1008 nucleotides) under Drosophila pseudoobscura pseudoobscura. RNAcentral's name for it is "GA31726". The record is from RNAcentral. Lineage: Eukaryota; Metazoa; Arthropoda; Insecta; Diptera; Drosophilidae.